This is a non-coding RNA of Salmo salar (Atlantic salmon), 2157 nucleotides long. NCBI's taxonomy places the organism in Eukaryota, Metazoa, Chordata, Actinopteri, Salmoniformes, Salmonidae. The record is from RefSeq and is a predicted model, not a curated record.
AAUACUUCAUUUAAAAAUAUAUAUUAGCAAAAAAACAUUUAUUUUUACUGGUUUUGCUUUAUCGUUAUGGGGAUUUGUGUGAAGAUUGAUGAAUGGGAAAAAACAAUUUAAUCCAUUUUAUAAUAAGGCUGUAACGUAACAAAGUGGAAAAAGUCAAGGGGUCUGAAUACUUUCCGAAUGCACUGUACGUGUUCUAUUUACAGAGUCCAAUCCCAUCAACAUCAGCAGUGGAAUGAACAUCAAACUCAGCACCCGGAACUAGUGUAAGUCACCUUUGCUAAAUCUAUCCAUGACUCAAUGAUGAGCAAAUAAAUAUACUGGAGCUAGGCAAUAACACGGCCCAUGUCUUGCUGUCAUAGUUUCUGUGUUAAUAAGUAGGUUACAACUUCUACUGUAGUUUUCUCUGUAUUAUGGAGGCAUAGUUGAUUGUUUAUGCAAAGGUUGAAAUCUAAAUUGGAGAAAAGUAGAGGUAUUAGUAAGGAAGGGAUGGUGUGGGUGGCUGACUGGCGUCUGUUGGGGGUUGGUAUUGUGUGUGAAGGUUAGUAUGAAUGAUCUAUUGGCACUGGAGGGGUGGGUGGAUAUAGUACCUAGUACUGGUCCAGAAGACACGUAGUAAUUGUACUGGUGCAUGUCCUGUAUUGAUGAUAUCUAAAAGCAAAUAUAUGUUGUCUGUCUUUGAAGGCGCUAAUGCAUAUGUGUUCCUCCGUUCUCAAGUACAUCUGUGAUGUACACAGCUGGACAUUGGAGGGGGAGGAAGUCCACUGUCAACACCCUGACUGGUACGAUGAUGAUCGUGGCAAGAAGAAGUGGCUGUCCGUGGACUCAGUUGUGAUCUCUCGGCAGUUGUGUUGGACAAACGUUUGACAACAGAUCUCUCACACAUGACCAGAUUCAAACAUACAGGCCAUCUGGAAGCAUUCCACAGUGCUCUACUGAAGUAUACCCCAAAGCUCCAGCGUUUUGUACUCCUAUGCAUGAAGGUGCGGACUCAUCUUGCUAUCCUGGAGCAUAAUGAGAAUGUAGGACGCAAACAAGCCAGGACAGCCAAAGUAGACUUGCAGUACAAAGAAAUCUUCUGCAGAGGUCGAAGCAGUGGGUGGUGAAGAAAGUGUACAAGCCCAGAACCUAUCACUCAGGAAGAGGCAAGACGGUGGUCUACAAGCAGCCAGAGUAACAGCUCUCCAAACCCAACAUCCCUGCCGACAACGCCACAGCGCCAAAGCCUGCCGAAACCAGCUGUCAUUGCCCAAUACAAGGCAAGGUUCACCAGCUGAAGAACAUUCUGGAACUUGCCUGGAACAUUCAACCAACGCAACAUCUAUAUUCAGUUAGACUGAUGUUGUAGUAUAACAUAGAAUGCCCAGUAUUCUCACAUUGUAUUGUGGUAUAGAUAUUUCUAGCUCUUGUACAUAUGUAUAUAAUGGAGUUUGAUAAAAUGCUUUAUAUAAUAUGUUUUUAAAGUGUACUGACAAGUUACUAAAUGUUUACAGUUGCAUCAGAAACCAAUACUGCUCUACCAAGCAAAAGCGCAGUAAUGGCACAUUUGGCCAAAAAUGACUUACUGACAUUUGUUAUACAUUAAAUACAUGCUUUAUCAUGUGGACAAAUAUCCUGCUUCUAUUGUGUUGUGUUAUGGAGAAAAUGGGGGGAAAGGGAAAAAGCAGUAACUGCCAUCACUCACGUUAGCUACAGCCUGUUACCUCGGUUUCACCGAGUUUUGGGCUGCAGUUUCUACGGUUUAACUUGGUAUUAUAUAUUGUUCUUUGCUGAUACAAGUAUCAGCCUAUAUGAAACUGACAGCCACAUACAAAUAAACCUAUAAAACAAAUUGUCAUGGAAACAUAUUCCAGUGGGCACACCAAGCAAGAAGGCAGUAAUGACCAUCAGAGGAGGGUCAAUAUGAAUAAAACAAUAACCUGAUAGUAAGACAACAGAUAACCACAUCUCCAAUGAUCUGCCAUUUGGCUGGACAAUAAAAAAAACUUGAAAGCUAUUUUUUUCAGUUUCACUCUGAGCAGUUACUGCUUUUUUGCUUGGUAGGGAAGAAUAAAGUGUUGACUUCAACUUCUGGAUCAAUUUAUUGUGAUAUUCAUGAAAUGUAUUUGGACAUAACUAGCUACAAUCCUACUGCUAAAACAAAUGAUUUGUUUUACCUUU